CACAGCAAAUUGACCAGAGUUAAAUUUCUGGUGUUGAUAAAGAUAGAGUCAAUCGAACUCUAUUUGGAAUUGAUUUAAAUCUGUAUGUUGUUAAAUCUGUUUGAUUUCACACUGCACCACAAAAGAGUUGGUGUCAAAAUGGAGUGUUAUUACUGUUAUUGUAAAACCAACUCUAUGGGUCGUCAGUCUCUCAGCUCGGGUGUAAGGAGUGACUACCCUCUGGCAUCGCGCGAACAAUAAUCUCGUGAGAGCAACAAUCUGGCGGGAUUCAAGUAAUUUACCUGCACAACUCAACUGGAACGCAACGAGCAGCACAACGUUUUCGAGGACAGUUUGUUCAAAAUUGAAGAAAACGUGUUGCAUUGUGUCGGUAAGUAACAGUUAAUUAGAUAACCUAAUGAGUGCUAUUAUUAUAUACAGAUGGACAUAUAUUUAGACAUUAGUAAUAUAUUUAUAGCCGCUGUAAUGUAGGUUAACUGUUAUGCUGCCGCCUUUACUACAGCAAGGCUAAUGUCAGCUAGCUAGCAACCGUAACCUACGCCCAGAGCGGACAAACUACUGUACGGUAACUGGCAAGCUAACGUUGGCAAGCUAAUGUUAGCAAGAGUUUGUUUCUUCUACUUUCACACGUUUUCUGAUUACUGGUCUAUUGAGUCUGACUGUGAGCAAAAUAGAAUUCCUGUUGAGUGUUUAAAGUUUGGCAAUGUAACGUUAAGUUACGUGACGGUACUUUAGUAAUGCUAACAUUCUUUCAAAUAAAUAAAUGCUAGUUAGCUGGCUAGCUAAGAGCCAGAACCGGUUCCCACGUCUUAGCUGCAUGGAAGCAAAUAUUCUCAUACGAGGACUGGGUAUAUGUAUAUCUAAAUUACAUUUUGAUUAUCAGAAGUGUCUGUAGUUAAUAUGAAGUUACUAUCGGAAAGUUAAUCUGAAGGACUCCUUUCUCAAAUACGUUUUACUGUGCUUAUAGUUACUCAACGCGCAGGGCUCAAGUUUUGAAGAGGGGGGGGGGGGCUGAACGCUACGGCUGACCGGGCGUGGACACUACGUGCAGCGGUUACGGUUACAGACACCGUCGGGAAGGUUGGAGGGGAGCCAGCGCGGACUUUUUUUUCAGCAUCUGGAUGUUGAGCUGGUUGCAGAUCAAGCAUCCUCCUCCGUAUUGACAUCGCUGUCCCCAACUUCAUCCCAUUCAUCCUUGGUAGUGGCACAGACUGCACUAUCCCCAGCUUUAUCCCAUUCAUCUGAUUCCACCGUUAUUCUGGAGUCCACAAGAAAAAGGAGGAACCCAACAGGGUUAAUGGACCAGAAUGAAGCAAAACAGAUGGUUGAGGGUGUUCUGAGGGCCAAUCCAAAGGAUGAAGAAGUCUUCAAUGAGUAUGAUAAGACUAAAAUACUAACUGAUGCAACCCGUAAACAAAUGGUGAACAUCCUGGUUGCAGAUAUGAUAGAGCUACAUGGGAGGGUUCCACCGUCAAGUGUAAGGACCAAUUAUGCACUGGGAAUUGUGACUCUUUUUCCAUACCUCCGUGAUCCAUUCUCCAAACUUGGAUAUGAACACUACUAUGAUCCUGAGGGUAAUACUGGCUUAAUUUCAUGGAGGAUCAAGACGGUUCAACGCAACACCUUUGCUGACUUGCAGGGUCGUUCCAAGACCGUUCUUCAGGAUGGUCCAAAAACCAGGCGAGAAUCUCUGUCAACCUGCCAACAGCUAUUUGGUGAGGAGUGCAGGGAGGCGAUAUCUACAAUAAGACAUUCCAGCGAUGCAUCUGUGGUCAAAGAGAAGACGAGAGCGACUUUCCAGUAUCGACAGAAGAUGGUUGGGGAUGAUGCAUCAUCUUCAGUCCUGGAUGUGUUCCCUCGUUUUCUUGAUGUACCUGGAUUGGUAAGAAAACUUUUUUGCUUUGGUUGUAGUUGUCCAGUGUAGAACAGUAAUAUAGUCCAGUGCAGGACAAUAUAAUAUUUUUCGGAACUAUACUAUAAUCUCUUUAAUCUUCUUUUCAAUCUUCCAUUUCAGUAUUGACCUUUCAUUAAUUUUGUAAUGUAUGCUUGAACCUGUAUAUUAAAAUAUUGUUUUCCUUGUUUGUAGAUUCUCAAUGAUGUUUGGUGACGAAGUGUCUCAGAAGUUCCUGUCCAAGUGGUCAACUUUCUUCAAGCCAAACAUCACAGACUGCAAGACUGCAAAGAAUAUGGAUGAGUUGCUGUCAGCAACUGAAUCUGAGUCUGAAGAUAACAAUGGAUGGGACAGUGAUAUGUCUUCAAUCCUUUUACUGCUGCAUCUACUCCCUCCAACUUCAAGGGGCCA
Non-coding RNA from Gasterosteus aculeatus aculeatus (three-spined stickleback), 2302 nucleotides. The record is from RefSeq and is a predicted model, not a curated record. NCBI's taxonomy places the organism in Eukaryota, Metazoa, Chordata, Actinopteri, Perciformes, Gasterosteidae.